GACGAACGCUGGCGGCGUGCUUAACACAUGCAAGUCGAACGGAAAGGCCUGCUUUCCCUUGUGGAUUGCGGGUACUCGAGUGGCGAACGGGUGAGUAACACGUGAGUGAUCUGCCCCCAACUUGGGUAUAAGCCUGGGAAACUGGGUCUAAUUCCCGAUAGGACUGCAGGGUGGUGCCUGUGGUGGAAAACGAUUUUCUAGUGGUUGGGGAUGAGCUCGCGGCCUAUCAGCUUGUUGGUGGGGUAAUGGCCUACCAAGGCGGCGACGGGUAGCCGGCCUGAGAGGGUGGACGGCCAAAGUGGGACUGAGAUACGGCCCAGACGCCUACGGGAGGCAGCAGUGGGGAAUAUUGCACAAUGGGCGGAAGCCUGAUGCAGCGAGGCCGCGUGGGGGAUGACGGCCUUCGGGUUGUAAACUCCUUUCGACCGAGAGGAAGCCACCUGGUUGGAAGGGUGGUGACGGUAGUGGUAGAAGAAGCACCGGCUAACUACGUG
RNAcentral lists this ribosomal RNA (494 nucleotides) under uncultured bacterium. Its description in RNAcentral is "partial 16S ribosomal RNA". It matches the Rfam family "Bacterial small subunit ribosomal RNA", at positions 28 to 507 of the family's 1533-position model. The record is from RNAcentral.